RNAcentral lists this ribosomal RNA (597 nucleotides) under Hanseniaspora uvarum. RNAcentral describes it as "eukaryotic LSU rRNA". It matches the Rfam family "Eukaryotic large subunit ribosomal RNA", at positions 48 to 658 of the family's 3401-position model. Lineage: Eukaryota; Fungi; Ascomycota; Saccharomycetes; Saccharomycodales; Saccharomycodaceae. The record is from RNAcentral.
AAGCGGAGGAAAAGAAACCAACUGGGAUUACCUUAGUAACGGCGAGUGAAGCGGUAAAAGCUCAAAUUUGAAAUCUGGUACUUUCAGUGCCCGAGUUGUAAUUUGUAGAAUUUGUCUUUGAUUAGGUCCUUGUCUAUGUUCCUUGGAACAGGACGUCAUAGAGGGUGAGAAUCCCGUUUGGCGAGGAUACCUUUUCUCUGUAAGACUUUUUCGAAGAGUCGAGUUGUUUGGGAAUGCAGCUCAAAGUGGGUGGUAAAUUCCAUCUAAAGCUAAAUAUUGGCGAGAGACCGAUAGCGAACAAGUACAGUGAUGGAAAGAUGAAAAGAACUUUGAAAAGAGAGUGAAAAAGUACGUGAAAUUGUUGAAAGGGAAGGGCAUUUGAUCAGACAUGGUGUUUUUUGCAUGCACUCGCCUCUCGUGGGCUUGGGCCUCUCAAAAAUUUCACUGGGCCAACAUCAAUUCUGGCAGCAGGAUAAAUCAUUAAGAAUGUAGCUACUUCGGUAGUGUUAUAGCUUUUUGGAAUACUGUUAGCCGGGAUUGAGGACUGCGCUUCGGCAAGGCAUGUUGGCAUAAUGGUUAAAUGCCGCCCGUCUUGAA